GCCCCCAUAGCUCAGUGCAUAGAGCAGCGCCCUUCUAAGGCGAGUGUCCCAGGUUGGAAUCCUGGUGGGGGUG
This 73-nucleotide transfer RNA is filed under the name Symploca sp. SIO1A3. RNAcentral describes it as "tRNA-Arg". It matches the Rfam family "tRNA". Rfam says of the family: Transfer RNA (tRNA) molecules are approximately 80 nucleotides in length. Their secondary structure includes four short double-helical elements and three loops (D, anti-codon, and T loops). RNAcentral also lists the same sequence under 2 other names. The record is from RNAcentral. Lineage: Bacteria; Bacillati; Cyanobacteriota; Cyanophyceae; Coleofasciculales; Coleofasciculaceae.